GAUGAACGCUAGCGGCAGGCCUAACACAUGCAAGUCGAGGGAGAAGCCUUUCGGGGCAGAAACCGGCGCACGGGUGCGUAACGCGUAUGCAACCUACCUUUCACAGGGGGAUAGCCCGAAGAAAUUUGGAUUAAUACCCCAUAAUAUUGUUUGAUGGCAUCAUUGGACAAUUAAAACUGCGGUGGUGAAAGAUGGGCAUGCGUCCUAUUAGCUAGUUGGAGUGGUAACGGCACCCCAAGGCUACGAUAGGUAGGGGUCCUGAGAGGGAGAUCCCCCACACUGGUACUGAGACAGGGACCAGACUCCUACGGGAGGCAGCAGUGAGGAAUAUUGGUCAAUGGUCGGAAGACUGAACCAGCCAUGCCGCGUGCAGGAAGAAUGCCUUAUGGGUUGUAAACUGCUUUUAUAUGGGAAGAAUAAGGUGUACGUGUACAUNGANGACGGUNCCA
This 449-nucleotide ribosomal RNA is filed under the name uncultured bacterium. Its description in RNAcentral is "bacterial SSU rRNA". It matches the Rfam family "Bacterial small subunit ribosomal RNA", at positions 28 to 480 of the family's 1533-position model. The record is from RNAcentral.